Molecule: long non-coding RNA, 859 nt
Organism: Gasterosteus aculeatus aculeatus (three-spined stickleback)
Lineage: Eukaryota; Metazoa; Chordata; Actinopteri; Perciformes; Gasterosteidae
Source: Ensembl
AUUUGUUGUUGCAGCCCUUGUUUCAACUGUUGUGUAACAUGGUCUUUGGAGAAAAUUGGACAUUUACUUCCUGAAUCAAGAGUUCUCUAAAAUAAAGUUAACAACUCUUUAAAUGUCCUCCCCGUACAGUAUAAUGGAGCGGAAACACUGCUGGCUCAUCCCAUUAAUGAUGCAGAGUUCUGGACACGAGAGAGAUGUCUGAGAAGAUGAGAAGGAGAAGUCACUCAGAGCCUGCAUGGAGACUUCUAAAUCCACAAAUGAAACAGGGGAGGAGAGGAGCGGCCUAGAUGAAGUCCAUAGGGCUCCUGACGUUUCUCUGAGACAUCGCCUUGGUGGGUUAGAAAGGGAGAGGAAGGAAGAAAGAGACCCGGAGAGGGUCUCCUAUCGGGAGGGCUGAGGGGAACACAGAGCAAAGUCACUUUUACAUAAUGAGUACUGUUGGAUAGACAUGUGGCGACAGCCUUAAAGAACCUUAAACCUCUCUCUGAUGACAACCUCAGUAAGAGCUUUGAUGACAGAGACAAAGAUAGUUACGGAAAGUUUCCAAUCCUGAUUCAGUUGGAUUUGCGGCUCCGAAGCGAUUUAUGAAACUCUGGACCGGUAAAAUAACAAAAUACGUUGCCCAGAACACAAUUUCACAAUAAACACACUACUUGUAAAUGAUUUGAGAUAUUUACUUUGUUUUAAUUUAUUAAAUGCCUGAAUUCUAAUUAGCAUGUGGAUUUUGCUUAGAAAAAUGAAACAAUAAGAAUCCACUUGCUUUAUUAAAUCAUAAUUAUACGCAGUAGGAUGCAUUUUUCACAGCGAAACCUUUGAUUUGUCACAGCAAGAAUAUAGUACCAGUGUAACACAACCUAAU